CUCUGUUGCAUAUAUUGAAUACAUUGAUAGUGUAUUUAUACACAAAAUACAGUGAAAGAUAAGUCUAAACUAUGCACAUGAUAAAUACAAAACAAAGAAGAACCAAAUCUAGUUAACUAAAUAUUAAUAUAUAGUUGGAGGGGAUAAGGAUAAUGCUUUCUAAUAUUCAUCAAUAUCUUCAUCAAUGGAUUCUCUGCCAAUGGCCCCCUUCAAAGGCAGUGUAGUUGAAUGAGGAAAAACGCACAACUUUGAUCAAACCAAGAAAAAUUGAAGUUUUGCAACCCCUUUUGUAAAAAUAUCUGCAAGUUGAAGUGAAGAGGGUACAAAACUCAGGUGGAGAACCCCACGUGCCACAAGUUCCCUAAUGAAGUGAUAAUCAAUGGCAAUAUGCUUGGAGCGGGACUUGGUGGCCGGGUUGGAAGCAAUAAACAUUGCCCUCUUAUUAUCACAUAACAUAGUUGGAGGUGAGGAUAGCUUGAUAUGUAGCUCACGAAAAAGCUGAAGUGUCCAUGAAAGAUCAACAGCUAGAAUAGCAAGUGCUUGAUAUUCGACCUCAGUAUUGGAACGAGAAACAGAGGUCUGUUUCUUGGAACACCAAAAGAUGAGAUUCAAGCCAUAAUAGACCGCGAAGCCUGUAGUAGAACAUCUAGUGUCUGGACAUCCUGCCCAAUCUACAUCAGAAUAACCAAGUAACAUAGAGGAGGAGUUUCUUGACAACUGAAGGCCAAAGUCAUAGGUGCCUUUAACAUAUCUGAGAAUAGUUUUCAAGGCACAAAUGGAGUCAAUGCUGUAAGAUAAAUCUGGGCUGGUAAGUGUCAAAUAUUGCAAAGCUCCAGCAAGAAAUCGAAACUGUGAAGAAUCAGCAUGAGGCUCACCAGAUUUAGUGAGAUGAGAACCAACCAAAAAAGGGGUGGAAAUAGGCUUGCAAUCUCUCAUAGCAGCACAAUCCAGAAGGUCCAAGGCAUACUUAGAUUGGCUAAGAAAAUACCUUUGUCAUUUCAAAUUACCUCAAUGCCUAGAAAAUAAUGGAGCUCACCUAAAUCCUUGAUAGAAAAUUCUGUGGCAAGUGCAUUACUACCAGUAAUCACCAUAUCGUCGACAUAUAACAGCAAAUAGAUAACACCAUCAGAGCCAUGAUAAACAAACAGAGAUGAGUCGGCCUGACUAGCAACAAAGCCAAGGUGAAAAAAAAAAAGACCUGAACCAUUGGAACCAUGCCCUUGGAGCCUAUUUAAGACCAUAGAGAGGUCGUUGCAAACGACAUACACGAGUAGGAAAUUGAGAAUUAACAUAACCUGGAUGUUGUUCCAUAUAAACUUCUUCUGAAAGAUGGCCAUGCAAGAAAUCAUUUUUAACGUCAAGCUGAUGAAGAGGCCAAUUAUGCAUGGCAGCAAGAGAAAGGAUUAUUCGAACCAUGGCAGGGCGAAUGACCGGACUGAAAGUCUCUUCAAAGUCGAUGACAUGUUUCUGAGAAAAUCCCUGUGCUACAAGACGAGCUUUAUGGCGCUUUAUAGUACCAUCUGCACGAAGUUUAGUUUUAAAAAUCCAACAACAACCCACAACAUUAUGAUUAGAAGGUCGAGGUACCAAUCACCAAGUGUUAUUUUGCUUGAGAGCUGUUAUUUCAUCAUCCCUUGCAGUAAGCCAUUCUUGAUAUUUUAAGGCUGACUUAAAACCCCGUGGCUCUUCAACAACAAGAUGUACCUGAAACCAUGGAGGAGCUGACAAAGCAAUUAACGAAUGAAUAGUACGAGGCUUAACAAUACCAUUCCUUAAACGAGUAAUCAUAGGAUGUGGAGUUGGUGGCGGUCGUGACAAGGAAGAAAUGGGUGGAUUGACACCUUUGCUGAAGGAGGCAAGACUCAAGAAGAGGAUGAGAAGUACAAUUAUGGUUAGCACAUGGGAGACACGGAGAAGAUGCCUUGUGAUGAUUCAAAGUCAUAUUUGUAGGAUCAAUUUGUUCACAAGAUAAAAAAAGAUCAAUAGGAUCCAAAAAGGUGACAAAAUCAGUGGAGUCCUGGGAAGUAAGAGUGGAGUUUUUGUAAGGAAAAUGAUCCUCAAAAUACUGCACAUGACGAGAGACAUACACACGGUUAGAUUUUGUAUCUAAACAACAAAAAACUUUAUGAAGUGAACUAUAGCCUAAAAAUAAACAAGGGAGAGAUUGUGGAGAGAAUUUGUGAGGCAUAUAGUCAUGAAGAAAAGGAAACCAUAAACAUCCAAAGGUUCGGAGAGAAGAAUAAGAAGGAACUUUACCGUACAAUACUUCAUGAGGUGUCAUGCUACCAAGAACCGGUGAUGGAAGCCGAUUGAUGAGAUAACAAGCUGUAGAGAAAGACUCAACCCACAAUUGUAAAGGAACGUUAGAAUGAAAGAGCAAGGUUAGUCCGGUUUCGGUGAUAUGCCUAUGUUUACGCUCGGCAAUGCCAUUUUGGUUUGGAGUGUAAGGACAAGAUAUUCUUUGAAUUAUACCACACUCAUGAAGAUAAGAAGUGAAUUUGUUAUUAGUGAACUCAGUUCCACUGUCACAUUGGAAUGAUUUUACGUUCCUAUCAAAUUGAUUUUUGGCAUAAAUGACAAAACGGACAAAAAUAUCAAAAAAAUCUAAUUUGAGCUUGAGAGGAAAAAUCCAACUAAAACGAGAGAAAUUAUCAAUCAAGACACAAUAAUAUUUAUAUCCCGACAGAAAGGUAAUUGGAGACGGUCCCCACAAGUCACAGUGAAUUCAUUCAAAUAAAAAGAGCAAUGUUAAACAAAAUUAGAGAAAGGUAAGCGAUGAUUCUUUCCCAAUUGACAACCAAAACAAUGAUCAUUAUUAAAAUUGUUCUUAUUAGAAAAUAAAAUAGCACCGUGCUUAUUUAAAAAAGACAAAAUCCUAAUAGAAGGAUGACCUAAACGUGCAUGCCAAACGGUGGAGGUAGCAUGAUUAUUACAAAGAGCAACAGAAGACAAAAAAUUUGCAUGGACACGAUCAAGUACAUAAAGGACUUUCUCACAUCAGCUGACUCCCAUCACCGCUCUUGUUGCCAGAUCUUGUAUGACAACGGAAGAAGGAAAAAGUUAUUGAACAAUUGUUCUCGAGUAAGCUUACUGAUGGAAAUAAGGUUUUUGGUAAUACUAGGAACAAGAAGAACAUUAGACAUAGGUAAUGAAUGGGAAGCAACAAUAGACGAAAUAGAACCAACAUGAGAUAUAGGUAAAGAAUGACCAUCACCAACAAACACCCUUUCAUUACUAUUGUAAGGAAUGGAGGAGUCAAGAGUCAAUGCAUCACUAGUCAUAUGUGAUGUCGCCCCUGUAUUCGUGUACCACUCGGUGUCGUGAGAGUCUACAAGAGAGGUUGCUAAAAAAGCUUCAAUGAGACCACCAUCUUUAGCCUUUUUCAGCAACUUACCAAGUUUAUAACACUUUUGGCUAUGUGAUUAUCUUUGCCACACCACUGGCAAGUAACAGCAGUAGAUUUGGAAGAGUUGCGGCUAUCCAUUUUAGAAAAGGAGUGAUGUUUGUUUCGGCCAGCAGAUAUAAUGGAGGAGCCGUGGCUGGCAAUGAAAGCAGAUUGCUGUUGCACUUCACCAUGGAUGGAUCGAGAGAAGAGCUCAUGGCUAAGAGCUUGCGGGACCAUGGUGGCAAAGGAAGGCAGCGGACAUUAUGAUAGCAUAGUGGUGGAAAAAAUUUUAUAAUCAGGGGCCAAGACCACGAAGAAACAAAUGCACCUUGUCUGUAUCGUCAACUGACUUUCGAAUGGCAGAGAUUUUGUCACAGAGAGAGCGAAAAGAGCGAACAUAGUCAACCACGCUACGAGAGCCACGCUGGAGCAAUUGAAGUUCGUCUCAGUUGAAUUUCACGUAUCUUGGAGCUAUGAGAAAAUGAUGUUUCGAUCAACCAAGCAUCAUGGGCAGUAUGUCACGACUCGCUCGAUCUUGGCACAAGAAGAUCGAGAAAUUUAAAAUGUUGACGAGUUGGGGCUAACCGGAAUAUUCUAGACUCCCACAAGUGCAUGAAG
This 4003-nucleotide long non-coding RNA is filed under the name Olea europaea subsp. europaea. Lineage: Eukaryota; Viridiplantae; Streptophyta; Magnoliopsida; Lamiales; Oleaceae. The record is from RNAcentral.